AGAGUUUGAUCCUGGCUCAGGACGAACGCUGGCGGUGUGCUUCACACAUGCAAGUCGAACGAGGUAGCAAUACCUAGUGGCGGACGGGUGAGUAACGCGUGGGAAUCUGCCUUUAGAUGGGGGAUAACGAGCCGAAAGGUUCGCUAAUACCGCAUAUGCCGCAAGGUGAAAGGAGUAAUCCGUCUAAAGAUGAGCCCGCGUCCGAUUAGCUAGUUGGUGGGGUAAAGGCCUACCAAGGCGACGAUCGGUAGCUGGUCUGAGAGGAUGAUCAGCCACAAUGGGACUGAGACACGGCCCAUACUCCUACGGGAGGCAGCAGUGGGGAAUUUUACGCAAUGGGGGAAACCCUGACGUAGCGACACCGCGUGAGCGAAGAAGCCCCUUGGGGUGUAAAGCUCUGUCAGCUGGAACGAAACAAAUGACGGUACCAGCAGAGGAAGCAUCGGCUAACUACGUGCCAGCAGCCGCGGUAAGACGUAGGAUGCGAGCGUUGUCCGGAUUUAUUGGGCGUAAAGAGUUCGUAGGUGGUUUGUUAAGUUUGAUGUUAAAGAUCGGGGCUCAACCUCGGGACAGCAUUGAAUACUGGCAGACUUGAGCAUGGUAGAGGCUAGUGGAAUUCCCAGUGUAGCGGUGAAAUGCGUAGA
RNAcentral lists this ribosomal RNA (644 nucleotides) under uncultured bacterium. Its description in RNAcentral is "bacterial SSU rRNA". It matches the Rfam family "Bacterial small subunit ribosomal RNA", at positions 8 to 694 of the family's 1533-position model. The record is from RNAcentral.